AGAGGGGGAUAACGUUUGGAAACGAACGCUAAUACCGCAUGAUAUUAUUGGGCAGCAUUGCCUGAUAAUCAAAGGAGCAAUCCGCUGAAAGAUGGGCUCGCGUCCGAUUAGGUAGUUGGCGGGGUAACGGCCCACCAAGCCGACGAUCGGUAGCCGGACUGAGAGGUUGAACGGCCUCAUUGGGACUGAGACACGGCCCAGACUCCUACGGGAGGCAGCAGUGAGGGAUAUUGGUCAAUGGGGGAAACCCUGAACCAGCAACGCCGCGUGAGGGAAGACGGUUUUCGGAUUGUAAACCUCUGUCCUCUGUGAAGAUGAUGACGGUAGCAGAGGAGGAAGCUCCGGCUAACUACGUGCCAGCAGCCGCGGUAAUACGUAGGGAGCAAGCGUUGUCCGGAUUUACUGGGUGUAAAGGGUGCGUAGGCGGCUUUGCAAGUCAGAAGUGAAAUCUAUGGGCUUAACCCAUAAACUGCUUUUGAAACUGCAGGGCUUGAGUGAAGUAGAGGUAGGCGGAAUUCCCGGUGUAGCGGUGAAAUGCGUAGAGAUCGGGAGGAACACCAGUGGCGAAGGCGGCCUACUGGGCUUUAACUGACGCUGAGGCACGAAAGCGUGGGUAGCAAACAGGAUUAGAUACCCUGGUAGUCCACGCUGUAAACGAUGAUUACUAGGUGUGGGUGGACUGACCCCAUCCGUGCCGGAGUUA
This 703-nucleotide ribosomal RNA is filed under the name uncultured bacterium. RNAcentral's name for it is "bacterial SSU rRNA". It matches the Rfam family "Bacterial small subunit ribosomal RNA", at positions 135 to 854 of the family's 1533-position model. The record is from RNAcentral.